GAUGAACGCUGGCGGCGUGCCUAAUACAUGCAAGUCGAGCGAACAGACGAGGAGCUUGCUCCUUUGACGUUAGCGGCGGACGGGUGAGUAACACGUAGGUAACCUACCUAUAAGACUGGGAUAACUUCGGGAAACCGGAGCUAAUACCGGAUAAUAUUUCGAACCGCAUGGUUCGAUAGUGAAAGAUGGCUUUGCUAUCACUUAUAGAUGGACCUGCGCCGUAUUAGCUAGUUGGUAAGGUAACGGCUUACCAAGGCAACGAUACGUAGCCGACCUGAGAGGGUGAUCGGCCACACUGGAACUGAGACACGGUCCAGACUCCUACGGGAGGCAGCAGUAGGGAAUCUUCCGCAAUGGGCGAAAGCCUGACGGAGCAACGCCGCGUGAGUGAUGAAGGUCUUCGGAUCGUAAAACUCUGUUAUUAGGGAAGAACAAACGUGUAAGUAACUGUGCACGUCUUGACGGUACCUAAUCAGAAGGCCACGGCUAACUACGUG
RNAcentral lists this ribosomal RNA (497 nucleotides) under uncultured bacterium. Its description in RNAcentral is "partial 16S ribosomal RNA". It matches the Rfam family "Bacterial small subunit ribosomal RNA", at positions 28 to 507 of the family's 1533-position model. The record is from RNAcentral.